RNAcentral lists this ribosomal RNA (415 nucleotides) under uncultured prokaryote. RNAcentral's name for it is "bacterial SSU rRNA". It matches the Rfam family "Bacterial small subunit ribosomal RNA", at positions 505 to 918 of the family's 1533-position model. The record is from RNAcentral.
GUGUCAGCCGCCGCGGUAAUACGGAGGGUGCAAGCGUUGUUCGGAAUUACUGGGCGUAAAGCGCGUGUAGGCGGUCGGGCAAGUCAGAUGUGAAAGCCUUCCGCUUAACGGAAGAAGUGCAUUUGAAACUACCCGGCUGGAGUACGGGAGAGGAGAGUGGAAUUCCCGGUGUAGAGGUGAAAUUCGUAGAUAUCGGGAGGAACACCAGUGGCGAAGGCGGCUCUCUGGUCCGAUACUGACGCUGAGACGCGAAAGCGUGGGGAGCAAACAGGAUUAGAUACCCUGGUAGUCCACGCCGUAAACGAUGGGCACUAGGUGUAGGAGGUAUUGACCCCUUCUGUGCCGAAGUUAACGCAUUAAGUGCCCCGCCUGGGGAGUACGGCCGCAAGGUUAAAACUCAAAGGAAUUGACGGGG